AAUGGCCGCGGUACUUUGUACCGUGCUAAGGUAGCGUAAUCAAUUGGCUUUUAAAUGAGGUCAGGAAUGAAUGGAAUUACGUGGUUCAGCUGUCUCUAAAUUAAUAUAUUGAAAUUACUAUGUAGGUGAAAAAGCUUACAAGAAGAUAAAGGACGAGAAGACCCUUAGAGUUUUUCUUAAUUUGAUAAUUCUUUAAUGAUAAUAUUCAUAAAUAGUUUUGUUGGGGCAACAUAGGAGCAAAUAUAAAAAUAAUCUCUUAAAUAAAUUACUAAUCGAUGAUUAUAAAAUUGCAUAAACUACCUUAGGGAUAACAGCAUAAUGUUAAAAACAAGUUUGUGACCUCGAUGUUGGACUAGGAAACUAAAAGGCUAGUCGUCUUUU
RNAcentral lists this ribosomal RNA (381 nucleotides) under Ceratosoma brevicaudatum. Its description in RNAcentral is "partial 16S ribosomal RNA". The stretch from base 1 to 139 matches the Rfam family "Archaeal large subunit ribosomal RNA", at positions 2003 to 2143 of the family's 2987-position model. Lineage: Eukaryota; Metazoa; Mollusca; Gastropoda; Nudibranchia; Chromodorididae. The record is from RNAcentral.